RNAcentral lists this ribosomal RNA (292 nucleotides) under uncultured bacterium. RNAcentral's name for it is "partial 16S ribosomal RNA". The record is from RNAcentral.
GGACUACUAGGGUAUCUAAUCCCGUUCGCUCCCCAUGCUGUCGUGUCUGAGCGUCAGUUGCGAGCCAGGGCGCCGCCUUCGCCUCUGGGGUUCCUCCGGAUCUCUACGCAUUUCACCACUACACCCGGAAUUCCACGCCCCUCUCUCGCACUCUAGACGGCCAGUCUGGCAUAACCCCGCCCGGUUGAGCCGGGCGAUUUCAUACACCACUUGACCAUCCGCCUGCACACGCUUUACACCCAGUAAAUCCGGAUAACGCUCGCCACCUACGUUUUACCGCGGCUGCUGGCAC